CGUUUNUCGUAGGGGUAACCUGCGGAGGGAUCAUUACACAAAUAUGAAGGCGGGCUGGAACCUCUCGGGGUUACAGCCUUGCUGAAUUAUUCACCCUUGUCUUUUGCGUACUUCUUGUUUCCUUGGUGGGUUCGCCCACCACUAGGACAAACAUAAACCUUUUGUAAUUGCAAUCAGCGUCAGUAACAAAUUAAUAAUUACAACUUUCAACAACGGAUCUCUUGGUUCUGGCAUCGAUGAAGAACGCAGCGAAAUGCGAUAAGUAGUGUGAAUUGCAGAAUUCAGUGAAUCAUCGAAUCUUUGAACGCACAUUGCGCCCUUUGGUAUUCCAAAGGGCAUGCCUGUUCGAGCGUCAUUUGUACCCUCAAGCUUUGCUUGGUGUUGGGCGUCUUGUCUCUAGCUUUGCUGGAGACUCGCCUUAAAGUAAUUGGCAGCCGGCCUACUGGUUUCGGAGCGCAGCACAAGUCGCACUCUCUAUCAGCAAAGGUCUAGCAUCCAUUAAGCCUUUUUUUCAACUUUUGACCUCGGAUCAGGUAGGGAUACCCGCUGAACUUAAGCAUAUCAUAAGCGGGAGGGAACU
RNAcentral lists this ribosomal RNA (580 nucleotides) under Alternaria brassicae. Its description in RNAcentral is "eukaryotic LSU rRNA". The stretch from base 202 to 355 matches the Rfam family "5.8S ribosomal RNA". Lineage: Eukaryota; Fungi; Ascomycota; Dothideomycetes; Pleosporales; Pleosporaceae. The record is from RNAcentral.